UCUCCGUUGGUGAACCAGCGGGGGGAUCAUUACCGAGUUUACAACUCCCAAACCCCUGUGAACAUACCAUUUGUUGCCUCGGCGGUGCCUGCUUCGGCAGCCCGCCAGAGGACCCAAACCCUUGAUUUUAUACAGUAUCUUCUGAGUAAAUGAUUAAAUAAAUCAAAACUUUCAACAACGGAUCUCUUGGUUCUG
RNAcentral lists this unclassified non-coding RNA (195 nucleotides) under plant metagenome. Its description in RNAcentral is "partial contains small subunit ribosomal RNA, internal transcribed spacer 1, and 5.8S ribosomal RNA". The record is from RNAcentral.